UGCUAUACUGCAAGUCGAGCGGACGGAUGGGAGCUUGCUCCCUGAAGUCAGCGGCGGACGGCUGAGUAACACGUGGGCAACCUGCCUGUAAGACUGGGAUAACUCCGGGAAACCGGGGCUAAUACCGGAUAAUUCUUCCCUUCACAUGAGGGGGAGCUGAAAGAUGGUUUCGGCUAUCACUUACAGAUGGGCCCGCGGCGCAUUAGCUAGUUGGUGAGGUAACGGCUCACCAAGGCGACGAUGCGUAGCCGACCUGAGAGGGUGAUCGGCCACACUGGGACUGAGACACGGCCCAGACUCCUACGGGAGGCAGCAGUAGGGAAUCUUCCGCAAUGGACGAAAGUCUGACGGAGCAACGCCGCGUGAGUGAUGAAGGUUUUCGGAUCGUAAAACUCUGUUGUCAGGGAAGAACAAGUGCCGGAGUAACUGCCGGCACCUUGACGGUACCUGGCCAGAAAGCCACGGCUAACUACGUGCCAGCAGCCGCGGUAAUACGUAGGUGGCAAGCGUUGUCCGGAAUUAUUGGGCGUAAAGCGCGCGCAGGCGGUUCCUUAAGUCUGAUGUGAAAGCCCACGGCUCAACCGUGGAGGGUCAUUGGAAACUGGGGAACUUGAGUG
Molecule: ribosomal RNA, 617 nt
Filed under: Bacillus sp. PSu2_38
Lineage: Bacteria; Bacillati; Bacillota; Bacilli; Caryophanales; Bacillaceae
Description: bacterial SSU rRNA
Rfam family: Bacterial small subunit ribosomal RNA
Source: RNAcentral